Molecule: ribosomal RNA, 504 nt
Filed under: uncultured bacterium
Lineage: Bacteria
Description: partial 16S ribosomal RNA
Rfam family: Bacterial small subunit ribosomal RNA
Source: RNAcentral
AUUGAACGCUGGCGGCAGGCCUAACACAUGCAAGUCGAACGGUAGCACAGAGAGCUUGCUCUCGGGUGACGAGUGGCGGGCGGGUGAGUAAUGUCUGGGAAGCUGCCCGAGGGAGGGGGAUAACUACUACAAACGGUAGCUAUUAGCGCAUAACGACGAAGGACCAAAGCGGGGGGCAUUCGGGUCUCACACCUGCGGAGGUGCCAAGAUGGGAUGAGCUAGUAGGUGGGGUAAUGGCUCACCUAGGCGACGAUCCCUAGCUGGUCUGAGAGGAUGACCAGCCACACUGGAACUGAGACACGGUCCAGACUCCUACGGGAGGCAGCAGUGGGGAAUAUUGCACAAUGGGCGCAAGCCUGAUGCAGCCAUGCCGCGUGUAUGAAGAAGGCCUUCGGGUUGUAAAGUACUUUCAGCGGGGAGGAAGGCGGUGAAGUUAAUAACUUCACCGAUUGACGUUACCCGCAGAAGAAGCACCGGCUAACUCCGUGCCAGCAGCCGCGGUAA